Molecule: transfer RNA, 96 nt
Filed under: Cordylochernes scorpioides
Lineage: Eukaryota; Metazoa; Arthropoda; Arachnida; Pseudoscorpiones; Chernetidae
Description: tRNA-Tyr
Source: RNAcentral
UUCCAAAAAUGCAAAAAUCCGGAUUUGAACCAGCGACCUAAGGAUCACCGUUGAUACAUCUACAGUUCUCCGCUCUGCCAACUGAGCUAUCGAGGA